RNAcentral lists this ribosomal RNA (253 nucleotides) under uncultured bacterium. RNAcentral's name for it is "partial 16S ribosomal RNA". It matches the Rfam family "Bacterial small subunit ribosomal RNA", at positions 524 to 776 of the family's 1533-position model. The record is from RNAcentral.
UACGAAGGGGGCUAGCGUUGUUCGGAAUUACUGGGCGUAAAGCGCACGUAGGCGGGUUGUUAAGUCAGGGGUGAAAUCCCGGAGCUCAACUCCGGAACUGCCUUUGAUACUGGCAACCUAGAGGCUGGAAGAGGUUAGUGGAAUUCCCAGUGUAGUGGUGAAAUGCGUAGAGAUCCGGAGGAACACCAGUGGCGAAGGCGGCCUUCUGGGCCUUUCCUGACGCUGAGACGCGAAAGCGUGGGGAGCGAACCGG